AGAUUGAACGCUGGCGGCAGGCCUAACACAUGCAAGUCGAGCGGUAGAGAGGUGCUUGCAUCUCUUGAGAGCGGCGGGCGGGUGAGUAAUGCCUAGGAAUCUGCCUAGUGGUGGGGGAUAACGUUCGGAAACGGACGCUAAUACCGCAUACGUCCUACGGGAGAAAGCGGGGGACCUUCGGGCCUCGCGCCAUUAGAUGAGCCUAGGUCGGAUUAGCUAGUUGGUGAGGUAAUGGCUCACCAAGGCGACGAUCCGUAACUGGUCUGAGAGGAUGAUCAGUCACACUGGAACUGAGACACGGUCCAGACUCCUACGGGAGGCAGCAGGUGGGGAAUAGUUGGACAAUGGG
RNAcentral lists this ribosomal RNA (349 nucleotides) under uncultured soil bacterium. Its description in RNAcentral is "bacterial SSU rRNA". It matches the Rfam family "Bacterial small subunit ribosomal RNA", at positions 26 to 375 of the family's 1533-position model. The record is from RNAcentral.